UACGUAGGUGGCAAGCGUUGUCCGGAUUUACUGGGUGUAAAGGGCGUGCAGCCGGAAAGACAAGUCAGAUGUGAAAUCCCGCGGCUCAACCGCGGAACUGCAUUUGAAACUGUUUUUCUUGAGUACCGGAGAGGUCAUCGGAAUUCCUUGUGUAGCGGUGAAAUGCGUAGAUAUAAGGAAGAACACCAGUGGCGAAGGCGGAUGACUGGACGGCAACUGACGGUGAGGCGCGAAAGCGUGGGGAGCAAACAGG
This 253-nucleotide ribosomal RNA is filed under the name uncultured bacterium. RNAcentral describes it as "partial 16S ribosomal RNA". It matches the Rfam family "Bacterial small subunit ribosomal RNA", at positions 524 to 776 of the family's 1533-position model. The record is from RNAcentral.